UACAGAGGUGGCAAGCGUUAUUCGGAAUUAUUGGGCGUAAAGGGCGCGUAGGCGGCUUGGCAAGUGGAUGGUGAAAUCCCUCGGCUUAACCGAGGAACUGCCGUCCAAACUGCUUUGCUUGAGGCCGGGAGAGGCGAGUGGAAUUCCCAGUGUAGCGGUGAAAUGCGUAGAUAUUGGGAGGAACACCAGUGGCGAAGGCGGCUCGCUGGACCGGUUCUGACGCUGAGGUGCGAAAGCGUGGGGAGCAAACAGG
This 253-nucleotide ribosomal RNA is filed under the name uncultured bacterium. Its description in RNAcentral is "partial 16S ribosomal RNA". It matches the Rfam family "Bacterial small subunit ribosomal RNA", at positions 524 to 776 of the family's 1533-position model. The record is from RNAcentral.